AAUGAACGAAAGUUUGACACAGCGACACCGCGUGUGGGAUGACGGAUCUAGGUUUGUAAACCACUUUCAGGAGGGAAGAAAAUGACGGUACCUCCACAAGAAGCCCCGGCCAACUACGUGCCAGCAGCCGCGGUAAUACGUAGGGGGCGAGCGUUGUCCGGAUUUAUUGGGCGUAAAGAGCUCGUAGGCGGUUCAACAAGUCGGUCGUGAAAGUUCAGGGCUCAACCCUGAAACGCGAUCGAUACUGUUGGACUAGGAUACGGUAGAGGUGAGUGGAAUUCCGAGUGUAGCGGUGAAAUGCGUAGAUAUUCGGAGGAACACCAAUUGCGAAGGCAGCUCACUGGACCGCUAUCGACGCUGAGGAGCGAAAGCUAGGGGAGCAAACAGGAUU
RNAcentral lists this ribosomal RNA (391 nucleotides) under uncultured Actinomycetes bacterium. RNAcentral's name for it is "bacterial SSU rRNA". It matches the Rfam family "Bacterial small subunit ribosomal RNA", at positions 370 to 779 of the family's 1533-position model. Lineage: Bacteria; Bacillati; Actinomycetota; Actinomycetes. The record is from RNAcentral.